AACGAACGCUGGCGGCAGGCUUAACACAUGCAAGUCGAACGGGCGUAGCAAUACGUCAGUGGCGGACGGGUGAGUAACACGUGGGAAUAUGCCUUUCGGUUCGGAACAACUCGGGGAAACCCGUGCUAAUUCCGGAUACGCCCUUACGGGGAAAGGAUUUAUCGCCGAAAGAUUAGCCCGCGUUGGAUUAGCUAGUUGGUGAGGUAAAGGCUCACCAAGGCGACGAUCCAUAGCUGGUUUGAGAGAACGACCAGCCACACUGGGACUGAGACACGGCCCAGACUCCUACGGGAGGCAGCAGU
Molecule: ribosomal RNA, 302 nt
Filed under: uncultured bacterium
Lineage: Bacteria
Description: bacterial SSU rRNA
Rfam family: Bacterial small subunit ribosomal RNA
Source: RNAcentral